CACACUUUUAUGAUGAAGUAUUUUUCGGAUGUAAAUGACCCAUCAUGGGUCGACUGUCCGAGAGCGCAAAAAACAUGUGGACAACUCCGUUGCCUUCCUUCUGAAACAUAU
Molecule: small nucleolar RNA, 111 nt
Filed under: Kwoniella heveanensis BCC8398
Lineage: Eukaryota; Fungi; Basidiomycota; Tremellomycetes; Tremellales; Cryptococcaceae
Description: Small nucleolar RNA Z13/snr52
Rfam family: Small nucleolar RNA Z13/snr52
About the family: Z13 or snr52 is a member of the C/D class of snoRNA which contain the C (UGAUGA) and D (CUGA) box motifs.
Source: Rfam by way of RNAcentral